UUCAUGAUGUUAGACCCUGCUGAUCUGUCCAGGAGGUUGAAGACCAUGGAGAAUUGGAACAUUUUUUCCCACCAGUGCUUUUGAUAGGCCAGUGCAAGGAUAUUAUUUCUCUUGGUCUCCAGACCAGGAAAUACUUUCCUUCAUUUAAUCAAGAGUUUCUGGCAGCUCUUCAGGCUCUGAAGAACACAUGGAUUCCUGAUAAUAUAUCCAUAAUACACACUCCACAUGAACUGUUCUCUUCAGUUCACCAGAGUAUAAUCCCUUCCAUUCAAUUCAAGUUGCUACUCUGGAGUCAGGUGGACUUCUUUGCCUGUGACUCUAUGUAAGUCCAC
Molecule: long non-coding RNA, 332 nt
Organism: Sceloporus undulatus (fence lizard)
Lineage: Eukaryota; Metazoa; Chordata; Lepidosauria; Squamata; Phrynosomatidae
Exons: 3
Source: RefSeq, a predicted model, not a curated record